Molecule: ribosomal RNA, 119 nt
Filed under: Pteropus alecto (black flying fox)
Lineage: Eukaryota; Metazoa; Chordata; Mammalia; Chiroptera; Pteropodidae
Also listed under: 1 other name
Source: RNAcentral
AUGUACGGCCAUGCCACCCUGAAUGUGCCUGAUCUUGUCUGAUCUUGGAAGCUAAGCAGGAUUGGGCCUGGUUAGUACUUGCAUGGGAGACCGUGUAGAAAUACCAGGUGCUAUAGGCA